UAGGGUUUGAUUAUGGCUCAGGAUGAACGCUAGCGGCAGGGCCUAACACAUGCAAGUCGAACGGUAACAGAUCUAGCUUGCUAGAUGCUGACGAGUGGCGAACGGGUGAGUAACGCGUAUGCAAUCUGCCUUUAACUGAGGAAUAGCCCAGAGAAAUUUGGAUUAAUACCUCAUAGUAUUAUGAUUUGGCAUCAUCUCAUAAUUAAAACUCCGGUGGUUAAAGAUGAGCAUGCGUCCUAUUAGCUAGUUGGUAAGGUAACUGCUUACCAAGGCUACGAUAGGUAGGGGGCCUGAGAGGGUGAUCCCCCACACUGGUACUGAGACACGGACCAGACUCCUACGGGAGGCAGCAGUGAGGAAUAUUGCGCAAUGGAGGAAACUCUGACGCAGCCAUGCCGCGUGCAGGAAGACGGCCCUACGGGCUGUAAACUGCUUUUCUGCAAGAAGAAAUACUAAUACGUGUAUUAGUUUGACGGUACUGCAGGAAUAAGCACCGGCUAACUCCGUGCCAGCCGCCGCGGUAAUACA
This 528-nucleotide ribosomal RNA is filed under the name uncultured Cytophagaceae bacterium. Its description in RNAcentral is "bacterial SSU rRNA". It matches the Rfam family "Bacterial small subunit ribosomal RNA", at positions 1 to 527 of the family's 1533-position model. The record is from RNAcentral. Lineage: Bacteria; Pseudomonadati; Bacteroidota; Cytophagia; Cytophagales; Cytophagaceae.